GGCGAACGGGUGAGUAACGCGUAGGAAUACACCUUAAAGAGGGGGAUAACUUGGGGAAACUCAAGCUAAUACCGCGUAAGCUCUACGGAGUAAGGCAGGGGACCUUCGGGCCUUGCGCUUUAAGAGUAGCCUGCGUCUGAUUAGCUAGUUGGUGGGGUAAAGGCCUACCAAGGCGAUGAUCGGUAGCUGGUCUGAGAGGAUGGACAGCCACACUGGGACUGAGACACGGCCCAGACUCCUACGGGAGGCAGCAGUGGGGAAUAUUGGACAAUGGGGGCAACCCUGAUCCAGCGAUGCCGCGUGUGUGAAGAAGGCCUGAGGGUUGUAAAGCACUUUUAGUGGGGAGGAUAGGCUAUCGGUUAAGAGCUAAUAGUCCGGACGUUACCACCAUAAACAGCACCGGCUAACUCCGUGCCAGCAGCCGCGGUAAUACGGGGGGUGCAAGCGUUAAUCGGAGUUAUUGGGCGUAAAGGGUAC
RNAcentral lists this ribosomal RNA (477 nucleotides) under uncultured Pseudomonadota bacterium. RNAcentral describes it as "bacterial SSU rRNA". It matches the Rfam family "Bacterial small subunit ribosomal RNA", at positions 97 to 570 of the family's 1533-position model. The record is from RNAcentral. Lineage: Bacteria; Pseudomonadati; Pseudomonadota.